RNAcentral lists this long non-coding RNA (1293 nucleotides) under Bos indicus x Bos taurus (hybrid cattle). RNAcentral's name for it is "lncRNA (ENSBIXG00000004071.1)". Lineage: Eukaryota; Metazoa; Chordata; Mammalia; Artiodactyla; Bovidae. The record is from RNAcentral.
CCUAUUCAUCCUUCAAAACCCAGCUCAGGUGUCAACAACUGCAGGAAAAUUUUCCUAACCAUACUUUGUCUCCUGAAAUGUGUAAGGUUUCCCUCCCCUACGUCCCCAUUUCACUCCACAAGACUUCUGUCAUGGCCUGAUCUCUCUAUCUGAUGACUAAGGAUUCCUCACGUCACCUAAACUCUUGCAUCACUUCUCUACUGUGUAUUUGGGAGUAAUUUCUGUUCCAGAGUUGAUUCACACUCAGCUGCUUCUUUGUGGUCACUAUCUUCUAAGCUGCUUUCUGCUUCACUUCUUGGAAGUGAUCUCUUUUCUCCCUUAAUACCCUGUCAUCACCAGCAUGUGCAUCUCAAAGCAUAAAGAGUGAGUGUUUCACAGACUUGUGUUGACUGUUGCGGAAGCACUGGUGACCAUUGGAGCAGCAUCUCCCAGGAUUGAGGAAACCGUCAUUUGAAGAGAGGGCUCCUAUGCCUGGAACACAAUACGUGUCUCAGAAGGCCACUCACUGCAUGAAUGGAAAGGAGGCUAGAUGGAAGAAUUUACUGUAUAUAGUAAUGAAUAUAAAACACAUGAUGGUCUGGAACUGAACCUGCUAUAUUUGCAAUGUAUGCCUGUGCUAAGUUUCACCAGGACUGGGGCUAGCAUGGAAAGCUUCCAGAUGUAAGCUGAAUACAUUGCUGUAUUUUUCUUCAACUACAUAAUGACUUCAGCUCAUUCCAAAUGGAAAAUAGGUCAAGAGAAGAAGACAACUGUACUGCAGUAUCAGCGAUGGGCUUAGGAGUCUUGCUAAGUUCCUUUUCCUCUCGUGGGCUCAGCUCUCCCCUCUGAAAGGGUGAGCAACAUGACCUCAAAGGUGUUUCAUGAUUUCUGGGAUUUUUAGGGAUUGCCAAGCUCCCAGGGCCCUCCCUAGAGGGGUGCAGUCAUGAAUUCAUUGGAACAUUGUAUGAACCAGCCUCAAAUUCACCCUCUAAAGCCACAUAUUUUGUCUGGUAGAAGCCAAGGCCACCUCCACCUUCGCCCUUUUUCAUUCCUAUAUCAGUAAUUUGUGUCUUCUCUUUUUCUUGACCAGUCUUCCCAAGAGUUUGUCUAUUUUUCAAUAGUCUUUUAGAAAACACUUUUAGCUUUGUUCUAUUAUUCUUUUGUUUUAUAUUUUAUUAAUUCUGCUAUUAUCUGUAUUAUUUUUCUUUUCUGUUAUCUUUAGAUUUAGUUUUUUGUCCUUUUUCUAACUUUUGGAGAGGGAUACUUACAUCAUUGAUUUUACUUUUGUGUCCUUUUUAAUAUAUAUAAUUCAGG